AAGAGCUUGUUCGAGAAUUUCUAUAAGCCCUUUUUCUCCAUUUUUGAAAGACUUAUUUGACUUCGGUUUCAGUGAGGGAUUCUUUAGUGUACUUUCUAGAUAAAUUAUAUUGGGAUAUUACUUGACUUGAUGCAUGAAUUGUUAUAUUUGUUUAUGCUUAGUUUAUUUGAAUAUGAAAUGUAAGUUGAUAUGCAUGAGGGUUACAAAAAUAUGAUUCUAAAAUGCAUGUGGGAUUGGCCAUUUCCCUUACCCUUGGUAAUGCUGAAGUGGGUUAUUCUAGGAGCCCUAACUCUAAGGAAUAU
Molecule: long non-coding RNA, 302 nt
Filed under: Carica papaya (papaya)
Lineage: Eukaryota; Viridiplantae; Streptophyta; Magnoliopsida; Brassicales; Caricaceae
Description: long non-coding RNA (CPAP_LNC011023)
Source: RNAcentral